RNAcentral lists this ribosomal RNA (447 nucleotides) under uncultured bacterium. RNAcentral describes it as "partial 16S ribosomal RNA". It matches the Rfam family "Bacterial small subunit ribosomal RNA", at positions 29 to 507 of the family's 1533-position model. The record is from RNAcentral.
AACGAACGCUGGCGGCAUGCCUAACACAUGCAAGUCGAACGAUGCCUUCGGGCAUAGUGGCGCACGGGUGCGUAACGCGUGGGAAUCUGCCCUUGGCUUCGGAAUAACAGUUAGAAAUGACUGCUAAUACCGGAUGAUGUCCCCCUGAGAGAUCUUGGGGACCAAAGAUUUAUCGGCCAGGGAUGAGCCCGCGUAGGAUUAGGUAGUUGGUGGGGUAAAGGCCUACCAAGCCGACGAUCCUUAGCUGGUCUGAGAGGAUGAUCAGCCACACUGGGACUGAGACACGGCCCAGACUCCUACGGGAGGCAGCAGUGGGGAAUAUUGGACAAUGGGGGGAACCCUGAUCCAGCAAUGCCGCGUGAGUGAUGAAGGCCUUAGGGUUGUAAAGCUCUUUUAACAGGGAUGAUAAUGACAGUACCUGGAGAAUAAGCUCCGGCUAACUCCGUG